Molecule: ribosomal RNA, 274 nt
Filed under: uncultured bacterium
Lineage: Bacteria
Description: partial 16S ribosomal RNA
Rfam family: Bacterial small subunit ribosomal RNA
Source: RNAcentral
AUACGGAGGGUGCAAGCGUUAAUCGGAAUUACUGGGCGUAAAGCGUACGUAGGCGGUUCGUUAAGUUAGAUGUGAAAGCCCCGGGCUUAACCUGGGAACUGCAUUUAAAACUGGCGAACUAGAGUUGAGUAGAGGGGAGCGGAAUUUCAGGUGUAGCGGUGAAAUGCGUAGAGAUCUGAAGGAACACCAGUGGCGAAGGCGACUCCCUGGACUCGAACUGACGCUGAGGUACGAAAGCGUGGGUAGCAAACGGGAUUAGAUACCCUAGUAGUCC